Molecule: long non-coding RNA, 220 nt
Filed under: Olea europaea (common olive)
Lineage: Eukaryota; Viridiplantae; Streptophyta; Magnoliopsida; Lamiales; Oleaceae
Description: long non-coding RNA (OEUR_LNC013026)
Source: RNAcentral
UUUUUCACAUAAAAUAAUUAAGCCCCCGUUUGGUUCUCAUUCUUUGGCCAUAAAAAUGAAAAAUAUGACCAUUAUCCAUCAUAUCAAACCACCAUAUUUGACUUUCUAUCUCUUGUGUAGGUCCCGAAACGACUAUAUUUUUUAUUCUCAUUCUUACAAAAAUGGGUACCAAAUGGGGCCUAAAUAAAAAACCAAAAAAAUAAAAGAAAUUAUCCAAUCC